Non-coding RNA from Biomphalaria pfeifferi, 553 nucleotides. Lineage: Eukaryota; Metazoa; Mollusca; Gastropoda; Planorbidae. The record is from the annotation of a GenBank genome assembly.
CAAAAAAAAAAAAAAAAUACACAUACAUGAAUUUCCAUGUCAACGAACUCUCGUCUGCAUAUCCCAACCGAUGCUUAAAGGAAGGACUUCAAUUGUAAAGAACAAAUUUGUUUCCUCAGUUUAUUGUAUCUUUUUAUAUAUAUUUGGCCAAGCUUAUUCAUACAAUCAAUUUAUUGGAGUUUUCUAGGUAAAGAUUGAGCUGAAUAAAUGUACACAAAAGAUAGCGGUCAUCUACAAAUUUGUAAUCUUAAUGACCCUCUUUAUAUUCAGGGGACAUAAGUGUGGAAUUUUUACUUUACCAAUCUUAACUUUAUAUGUAAAUAGUAGUCUCCCUUUGUUUAAUGACUGUAAAAUUAUUUUAAUGGUACCGAAAAUUGACUUGCUAAGAAAUGUAAAAUCGCACAUUUCCAUUUACAGCUCACCUCACUGCCUGCAUGUUUGUCGUUUUUUGAUAUAUAUUAAAAAUAAUUGUACAAUCAUAACGGAACUAACGUUUCUACGUUAUUGAUACUACAACAUACUACGUAACCCUGCCGGACCAAGUAAAACAAAG